CUGCAUCUUCUCUCUCUCUGUUCCUCAAAGAUUCACGGGUUCCUCUUUUCUCGUGAUAGAGAAGCCGAACAUUUUGUUCUUCGAAGCUCAAAGCAGUGCUGAAAUCUGAGUGAAGCAAGAAACAUGUUGAAAACAGCACCAAAAAACUCCAAAAAGGACGACCACAUUAUCCUCAAAGUCAAAGAAAGAUUUUCCCUAAAAGGAAUGCAAAUCAAGAUCGCUCCUUUUCUCUUGCCCAUAAGUUAGAAAACCCG
RNAcentral lists this small RNA (254 nucleotides) under Vigna angularis var. angularis. Its description in RNAcentral is "Non-protein coding transcript". Lineage: Eukaryota; Viridiplantae; Streptophyta; Magnoliopsida; Fabales; Fabaceae. The record is from RNAcentral.